Molecule: small nucleolar RNA, 110 nt
Filed under: Vulpes vulpes (red fox)
Lineage: Eukaryota; Metazoa; Chordata; Mammalia; Carnivora; Canidae
Description: Small nucleolar RNA SNORD22 (ENSVVUG00000017600.1)
Rfam family: Small nucleolar RNA SNORD22
About the family: U22 is a member of the C/D class of snoRNA which contain the C (UGAUGA) and D (CUGA) box motifs. U22 is encoded within the U22 snoRNA host gene (UHG) in mammals and has also been identified in Xenopus.
Source: RNAcentral
UCUCUCUCUCUCUCUCUCAUNUUUUUUUAAAAAGACUGGCUUAGGUGAACCCACUGGGGCUGGCUGGGGAAACGGAGGAGGCUUGCUCCAGAAGGAACUGUCUGAGGGAU